This 1564-nucleotide long non-coding RNA is filed under the name Homo sapiens (human). Its description in RNAcentral is "HSALNT0160555". Lineage: Eukaryota; Metazoa; Chordata; Mammalia; Primates; Hominidae. The record is from RNAcentral.
UGACCAUGUUUUUAUUGCAAUCUACAUCCAUGAUUUCUCCUUGCCAUUAGAAGUGGUGUGGAAGUGCUGGGAAGGGAAGAGCGUGGUCCCUUUAAAUGAUAGGGAACCGAGGAAGGGAAGUGCUGAGUAGGGGAGGGUGUGGUCCCUGGCUAGGGCUCCACCCCCACGGGCCCAGGUGAGGACAGGCACUCCUGCUUUCGCCGGCUGUUGCAUUUUCCAAGACCACUGUGGCCCACCAUGCCCCCGUCCUGGGCCUAUAAAAACCGGAGUCCCUAGCACAACAGAGACACAAGCCGCUGGACGUAGAGAGGAGCACAUUGGCGGAAGAAGGCGCAAGCGGCUGAUUGUGGAGAGGGCCUCCAGAGGAGAGCGCGGGCAGAAGAGCAGGACAGGCACCCGCUGGCCGGGAGGUCAUUGACUGGCAGAACGACGCGGAAUUUGGCUGGAGCAGUCGGAGGAGAGCCCAGGACGCCCAGCAGCCCGACUCCAGAACAAAACCAUCUCCCUUCUGGCUCCCCCAUCUGCAUCCUUGCUGAGCCUUACUUCUACUCAACAAAGCCUUACACAUUCUCGCAGCCCACGUGUGAUCCGAUUCUUCUGGUACACCAAGGCAAGAAACCCCAGGAUACUGAAAUCCCUCUGUCCUUCUGAUAAGGAAGGGAGUCUCAUUGAGCUGGUUAGCACACGCCGCCUGUAGACGGCAAGCUAAAAGAGCACCCUGUAACACAUGUAACACAUACCCACUGGGGCUUCAGCUAUAAACAUUCACCCUAGACACUGUCUUGGGGUCGGAGCCCCACAGCCUGCCCAUCUUUAUGCUCCCCUAGAGGUUUGAGCAGCAGGGCACACCCUCAUCGCACGCCCUGGGAGGGGGACAAGGGAACCUCUUCCAUUUCAGAAGAGUGGUGGUAGCUCUUAAAACUGUGAUCUGGGUCACUGUUCUCUGCAGCCAGCACAGAUGUGUACAGAGAUGAAGGCACGUGGUCUGCAGUGACACUCGGGCACUAGGUAAAUGAUGAGGACAUUUACAAAUGGUAUUCGAUAGGUAAAUUCAUAAGUGCCAACGGGUAACCAGAAUUCUAUGUCCCAGAAACUGGUGGUGCACUGAACUUUCUCCAUUCUCCUUCCAGAUCCCCUGUCGGCAUUUCUGUCUUCUUUUCUGAGCUCAGGAAGCUGACCUCUGCAGAUUGCAUCAAGUGGGUCUGAGACCCCUUUCCUUUGGCUUUCUUGCGGUUUCAGCCAAUGACAACCACUGUAGCAGAGCAGAGGGGGACUCAUUCUGCUGAAAGCCACAGCUCCUAUCCGGUGGUCUUAGAGCUUGGUAGGUCCUGUAACUACCUGCAUCCUUGCUUGUAGGUUUAAGGGUGGCAGUCACUUCCCUUUUGCUAGCCCCAGAGGGGCUUUACAGAGUCUUGGUUUCCUUGCCCUUACUUUCAUAUAACCUCCUUUUAUUUAAAAAAACUGUUUAAUUAUCACAUUUGAGUGUCUUCUUUUUCUGGCACAUGCAGCUAUGUAGAUUAAAGGGGUAACUGUACUUUAAAAAAAAUCAAUAAAUCAGACUUUU